CGUGUAGGCGGCCCGGUAAGUCCGCUGUGAAAGUCGGGGGCUCAACCCUCGAAUGCCGGUGGAUACUGUCGGGCUAGAGUGCGGAAGAGGCGAGUGGAAUUCCUGGUGUAGCGGUGAAAUGCGCAGAUAUCAGGAGGAACACCGAUUGCGAAGGCAGCUCGCUGGGACGUAACUGACGCUGAGACGCGAAAGCGUGGGGAGCAAACA
This 207-nucleotide ribosomal RNA is filed under the name uncultured bacterium. RNAcentral's name for it is "partial 16S ribosomal RNA". It matches the Rfam family "Bacterial small subunit ribosomal RNA", at positions 568 to 774 of the family's 1533-position model. The record is from RNAcentral.